RNAcentral lists this ribosomal RNA (325 nucleotides) under uncultured eukaryote. RNAcentral describes it as "partial 18S ribosomal RNA". It matches the Rfam family "Eukaryotic small subunit ribosomal RNA", at positions 1470 to 1796 of the family's 1831-position model. The record is from RNAcentral.
CCCUUAGAUGUCCUGGGCCGCACGCGCGCUACACUGAUGCAUUCAACGAGCUUUACCUUGGCCGAGAGGCCUGGGCAAUCUUUUAAACCUGCAUCGUGAUAGGGAUAGAUUAUUGCAAUUAUUAAUCUUGAACGAGGAAUUCCUAGUAAACGCAAAUCAUCAAUUUGCAUUGAUUACGUCCCUGCCCUUUGUACACACCGCCCGUCGCACCUACCGAUUGAAUGGUCCGGUGAAGCCUCGGGAUUGUGGCCAGUUCACUUUAUUGGGAGUUGGCUGUGAGAACUUGUCUAAACCUUAUCAUUUAGAGGAAGGUGAAGCCGUAACA